UGUUUUUUUUGUUUUGGAUGUAUGUUCAUUAAUUAACUCCAUUAUUGAGCAGCUUUCAUCAUCAUUCUGUUCACCGUUAGGAUUCGUCAAUGGCGGUCGUUCUUGUUCAGUGUGGUCCUGUAGUGUCAGAUUGUGCUUUAGCUUAUGUGCCAAGUUGUGUUCCUUAUCUCUCUGGUUCCACAGUGGCGUAACACAUAUGCUUAAUCUUGUCCAUCAUGGUUUUGAUGCAUUUGCGUGGGUAAGGAAAUGAAACUGAUUGCAGAGGAGCAAGCUUGCGACUGAUGGCCAAAGAAUUUUAAGGACAGAUGAGUUCUUUCUUCUUUACUCUGUUACCUUUUCUUAAAUCUAAUUGAUUUUGAAAAUUUUGAUGAGGAAUUAAUAUUGGGGAGAUUAUAUUCGGUGUUUCCUUGUUUCUCUGUUUCUUCGAAGUAUGGGGCCAUGACUGAUGAGUGGUUUUCAUUUUGACCAGAUUGUAAGUAGGUAAUGAAAAUGGGCAAAGCAGUGGUAGCUAAUUUGGGUUCAAAUCAAAGCAAAUAAUUACAAAAACAGAACAGUGGGAGCCUGGGAGAUAAUAAGGAACCAUGACCAUUCCAUGCAUGUAUGUAUUUGGGACGUUUCAUUGAUCUCAAUCUGAUUCCCAUCCACGUGGACUUGAAGCUCAACUUAACCAUAGAAAGGGUCUACCCAUGGCCCAUGACAGCUGGAGUGUAAAGGUCCUGCACCCCAUAAUAAUAAAAUCAAACAUUAUAAAUAAAUAAAUAAAAGUAAGAAGGAAGAAGAACUAAAGUAUGAAUUUUAAAAUUAAAAGUAAAAGGAACUCCACUCGGGUAGCAUUCAAGAUUUCCUUGGACGUCUGAGAUGGUUUAAGGUUGUCCUACUACCCCACCAUGUGCCAUAUUUUUGUCCCCAUUAGAGCUUUUUUAUUUUGACAGGCCGCUCCAGAAGAGCAUCAGAAUCUAGUGCAAUGUCAUAUAUUUAUUAUUUUAUAUAAUUAGAUAUAUAAAUAAUUUAUUAUUAUAUAAUUAUGUAUUAUUUAUUUUUAAUUUAAAAUUAUUUAAUUAUAUAAUGAUAUAUUUAAUUAUAAAUUCAAAAAUAUAUAAACAUAAAUUUAUUUAAAAUUAAAAUAGUGGAUGGAUUGUACACGGGCUGCGGAAGACACUUUGAAGAGGACUCCUGAAACUGCCACCAACUGGUUUAGAGCGUUCAUUAAACCAAGAAUCAUGACGCAGAGGUCCAAAGGAAUUAACGAGAAAAUUAAAGUAAAUCAUCAAAUAGUUCAAGAGCUGUGGAGUUGGGGGGGUGAGUGGGUACUUGGAAUUUUGCUUUCAUAAAAGGGAGAUAUUGUAAAUUUCUUAACCACUCAAAUCUGGCGGUGAGUUGAUUGAUUACAUAAGACUAAAUAAUGUGAUGAUUUUAGAUUAUUUUUCUAUUAUCAUUAUUAUUAUUAUACUGAUAAGAUUAGGUUGCGAGAAUACGCACAAAAUGAAUGAGAUUUUUCUAUUAUUAUUAUUAUU
Molecule: long non-coding RNA, 1514 nt
Organism: Mangifera indica (mango)
Lineage: Eukaryota; Viridiplantae; Streptophyta; Magnoliopsida; Sapindales; Anacardiaceae
Exons: 2
Source: RefSeq, a predicted model, not a curated record